CCUGCUGGGACCCGGCUGUUUAUCCACCUUCCUCCUGCGCCGCGCGGCUCCGUUCUGCAGGUCUGUCAGGAUUGCGAAACCGUCCUAAACGGGAUAUUUGUUUUGUUUGACAGAUGAAAAAACGAAGGCGUAGAGUAAUUAGGCCCUCUGCCACGUCAUACUAUUAGGAAAGAACCAGCCUCUUCACACGCACCCCUUCCUUUGGUGCCUUUGGAUAUAGGUAUCUGGCAUCCGAGAGGAAAUGCUGAGUUUUCUACAUAUGCUCUUUUCUGUUUACUUCACUCUCCACACCAAAGAGCAGCAAGCGUCCCGGUGGGAAGGAGAGAAACCCCACAGUUUCACAUCUUAUAAACUACUCCUGGCCCAGGAGCCUCUCAGAGACACUCGGGGAGGGUCAGGAUUCUGUGCACGAAUUUGGACUCAUCGAAGCCAAUCGUGGGCCAAAGUCAUCAGGCUUGAGGGCAGUGGUUUCACAAAUGUCUUGCCCUUGCUGACCCCUCACUCCAUGUAAGGGGCAUUUCUUUUUGCUCCUCCAAAGAAAGUCCCUUCCAUUCCUUCAGCGGUGCUUCCUCUUUCUGAUACUCUGCGAAUUGGUUCUUCCUCACAAGAAUGUCAGUGACUCCUUCCUUGGAAGGGUUUCAGUAAAGCCUCUGGGCAUCUAGAGAUCGUCCCAGGACUGGCGGUACCCUCGGCUCCAGAGAACAGCCUGCGUGCCGGCCCGUUCAAAGGCAGAGCGGCCUCUGUUCUGGAGUGUUGUGGAGACGUCUCAGAUUUCCUCUAGCUUCCUUCCUAAGCAUCUCUGCUGGUCCAGGUGGCUUACCUGGUGGGAUGACCUAGCCCCUUACCCUGAGGGGUCUGAGUCCCUGAUUAUAACGCCCUUCUUAGGCCAUGGCUGCUGCAUUUGCCAAUUUAUCAGCAGAGUUGGUCAAGGGAGAACCAAGUGAUGUCCAAAUGGAUCACCUGCACACCAGCCAUAUUCUUCUCUACUGUCACCACGUAACAGCAGACUCAUCUCCUCCUAAUGAUCAGGGUCUUUUCCUGCUGGCCUCUCAGCGUGAGAUACCCAGGGUGCUGGGUGGAAACAUUCACUCUCUGGGAACCAAGACCUCUAAAUCUGCAGAGCCCAGAACUGUGGGGCAGGAAGUGGAAACCUGGAGUGAUGUUCAGUGGGACCUCUCAUUUAUACACCGUGUUCUCCAGACCCAAGCACUCUACCUGCUGGGGGCAUGGCACCAUGUAAUGACAGGUGAGGGAGUACGUACUCUGUCCGGGAGGAUAGCUCCCCAUCCUCAUAUGGUGUCAACUCCAGCCUAGCACCUCAGCUGUGCCUUCAGGAGGACGUUCCAUUGCUCCAUCAGGAUGGUGUUUUCUGGGUAUUCUGGUAUGUGAAGGACCAGUGGAUCCCAUAGUCAUGGGCUCACUUCUGUAUCUACUGUGCUGUAAAGUGACCCUCUGGUUCCAGUGCUAUGUUAUAGGAGAUCUCACGUCUGUGGAUGAAACACUUCUGGACUUCCACUCUUCCAGAAGAUGGAAUAUUAGUUUUCCCUAUUCCUGCCACUAUGUACAACCCAAAACUCAGACAUAAGAAGACUCUGAAAGGUGGAGAACAAGUAUCUGACUAGCUGGAGGCCCUGGGAUCUGAGGAACAACACAGUGGUGAGUCCCCUGAGUUUUCUUUUUUUGUCUCAUGUAUCCCAGACCUGGAGCCCAAGAAACUGGCAACCUGGAAACACAAAUGUACAUAGACCAAAAAAAGCCCCAAUGAAAGUCUGCUUCUCUUUAGUCAAAGGCCAUGAAAGGAACAUUCUAGCAAAGCGGAAAACUUUUAGAUGAUAAUUUCUCUACUUCAGGACCCCCACACCCAAACACACACACACACACACACUCACACACUAAGGCUCUACCCAUGCCAGCAAAAGCAAAUGGGACCCCUCCCGCCCUUACCAGGCCAUAAUCACUCCCCGCCCCACACCCACCAGGGUAAUGCCAGAAAGUAGAGCUCAUGUGUUAAGGCAAGCCUUCCUGUGUAUUAGCCACGUCUUGCUCAUACAGUCUGAAUAACACGAUGUCAUCUAUAAGGUGGACCAACGUGAUGACCGUGCAGCGUGGCCAGAAUCCAGGUCCCCUGUUCUACAUUAUAACAGAAGGAGGGGAAGUUCUAGAGCAGUAACAGUGUACACUGUUGACUAUUCCACAUGAUGAGAACUGUUUCAGAUUCUCCUUUCUGAUUGGGCUAGAAAGGAACGCACAUCCCUGGCCACGUAUCAUGUGCAAAUCAGUGUGAAUUCACUCUAGCAAAACAGCACACGUGGCACAGAACCCACAGCUGAAGGUGCACCUUGGUAGAGCGCUCUGCUGUCUACUGGUACCCUCCAGGGUCCCUCUCAGGCCAGAGGGAGAAGUUAAUAGACAGGUGUUAGGGAGCGCCAGCGUACACCCUCCAGCUUUUUAAGGAUGGCAUGAAUCACUGCUAUCUUCCCCCAGGAUGUGAUAUUGUUUUUGAUUUACCGUCUUAGACGCGGUGGGGUGACAGUUUCAAGGGUUUGAUUUGGGCCAUCCCUGCUAUGAUAACCUCUACAUGUGCAGGCCGAGGUGAGGUUUCUGCCAACCCUCAGUUUGUUUAUUUCAAAUUACACAUUUGAGGCUGGGGAAAUGACCACUGGGAAAGUCUGUAGACCCCAGGAGACCAGCUGUGAGCUGGACCGAGGCCAGGAGCACUUAUUACCUUGUCCCCACUCAUCCCUGCUGUAAUGGAGGCCCACAGUAACACUUUCAGUUUCCAGGUUUCGAUAUCAACUUGGACCCUGUAUCCUCAAAAUACCUGGAUACUACUCUUUUCUCAGUGCACAAUUACCCAACUAAAUAGCUCUUACUUUUUAGGGAGGAAGGACUAGGGGGAUCAUUGCCAUUUAUACUUGCCGUGAUGGUACAAGGCCUUCCUCCUAAGGAUUCAGCCGUCCUGGAAUUAGCAGGUUCUAGAUCUAAAAACUGGCUCAGGUCUGAAAAUAAAAAAAAAAAAAAAAAAAAAAAAAAAAGAUUUCUAAAUUUUUUUGUUGUGGUGGCUGCUCUCAGUCUCCUAAUGACCUACUUUAAAAAAAAUUAUUGUGUAAACUCUCUAAUGGGGGUAAACUUUUUUAUUAUUAUUAAAACUUUUUUUUUUUUUUAGAAGAGUUUUAGGUUCACAGCGAAAUUGAAUGGAAGGUACAGAGAUUUCCCAUAUAUUCCCCACCCCAACACAUGCAUAGCCUCUGCUAUUAUCCACAUCCCCCGCCGGAGUGCUACAUUUGUUACAAUCAAUGAACCUACAUUGACACAUAAUCACCCAAAGUCCAUAGUUUGCUUUGGGGUUCACUGUUGGUGUUGGACAUCCUUUGGGUUUGGACAAAUAUAUAAUAACAUGUAUCCAUCAUUGAGGUAUCACAGAAUAUUUUCACUGCCCUCAAAAUCCUGUGCUCCAUCUAUACAUCCCUCCCUUGCCCCCACCUCCCCAACCCCUGGCAACCACUGAUCUUUUUACU
Molecule: long non-coding RNA, 3518 nt
Organism: Camelus dromedarius (Arabian camel)
Lineage: Eukaryota; Metazoa; Chordata; Mammalia; Artiodactyla; Camelidae
Exons: 3
Source: RefSeq, a predicted model, not a curated record